RNAcentral lists this unclassified non-coding RNA (162 nucleotides) under Phylloporus sp. RNAcentral describes it as "partial contains small subunit ribosomal RNA, internal transcribed spacer 1, and 5.8S ribosomal RNA". The stretch from base 1 to 46 matches the Rfam family "Eukaryotic small subunit ribosomal RNA", at positions 1786 to 1831 of the family's 1831-position model. Lineage: Eukaryota; Fungi; Basidiomycota; Agaricomycetes; Boletales; Boletaceae. The record is from RNAcentral.
AAGUCGUAACAAGGUUUCCGUAGGUGAACCUGCGGAAGGAUCAUUAUCAAAUGAGGUUUUAUUUUGUAGGUUGUAGGGUUAACAUACUCUGCAACCGAACAGACCAUUUUACGAAAAAUAUCUUAAUCUUAAUCACUCUUAACAAUGGAUCUCUGGGCUCUU